AAUGAACGCUGGCGGCAGGCCUAACACAUGCAAGUCGAACGGAUCCUUCGGGAUUAGUGGCGGACGGGUGAGUAACGCGUGGGAACAUACCCUUUGGUACGGAAUAGCCUCGGGAAACUGGGAGUAAUACCGUAUGUGGUCGAGAGACGAAAGAUUUAUCGCCAAAGGAUUGGCCCGCGUUGGAUUAGGUAGUUGGUGGGGUAAUGGCCUACCAAGCCGACGAUCCAUAGCUGGUUUGAGAGGAUGAUCAGCCACACUGGGACCGAGACACGGCCCAGACUCCUACGGGAGGCAGCAGCGGGGAAUCUUAGACAAUGGGGGAAACCCUGAUCUAGCCAUGCCGCGUGAUCGAUGAAGGCCUUAGGGUUGUAAAGAUCUUUCAGGUGGGAAGAUAAUGACUGUACCACCAGAAGAAGCCCCGGCUAACUCCGUGCCAGCAGCCGCAGUAA
This 449-nucleotide ribosomal RNA is filed under the name uncultured bacterium. Its description in RNAcentral is "partial 16S ribosomal RNA". It matches the Rfam family "Bacterial small subunit ribosomal RNA", at positions 29 to 523 of the family's 1533-position model. The record is from RNAcentral.